GAUUUUCAAUUGAAUUCGUUGAAGCUAACAUCACCAAUUUCAACCAAGCAGAGCCUCAUAGCACCACCCUCAUCACUGCCUACAAAUCAGUUUCAUGAACAAAUUUCGACAUUAAUCCCUAGGAAAGUUACAAGAGAUGAAUUUCAUCAGAUGAUUCUGGACAAGAAUUUAUAUCCUUGUUUUAAUAAAGCGGAAGCCAAUAUUCCAGUCUGCAAGCAGUUCUCAUGGUCUCCCCAAGGACUCAACUAUCGUAAUAGGUGCCUCAUGGUUGUCUUAACAGAUACAGGCUCUUGCAGUAUCUACGUCAGAGGCAAAUUAAAGAUGGUCUUACACAAGAGUAUCUCUAAUGAGUGGGUCAAAAUAUGUGCCAAGCGGUGGGACAGUGAUACACUAUCUAAUUUUAAUGAUCUUCAAGAGAGAGUCCACACAAUUAGUAUAAAAGAAAUUGUGUGGAGUCAUGCUGCGGGUGACUGGACCAAAAAAACAGCACUUCUUGUUUGCGCACACGAAAAUAUGGAAAUUAGCCUCUGGAGGGUGGAAACCAUGGCUUACAACAUGAAGGCAGAAGAAAUAUGUUUCUAGAUCUCCUCAAACCAGAUCUUUCAUCAGAUGUUAAACAUAUGCAGUGGACACGGAUUAGUUGUACACAAAGCAUCCUGUUCAUUUGUUGUUAUGAUGGAACCGUCCAUGGCUUAAAUUUGAAACACGAUGAAAUGCUGCUUUCCUGCAACUUAUCAUCAACGAUCAUUGUGUGGGACAAUGCUGAUCUAAUUCUAGUCUCAAAAAUCAUUACUCUGUCAAGGAGUUUGGAUGGAAAUGAAAUUUUGAUUGCAAUGUUGAAAGGUUUCCAUAUAGUUGUUUCAUCCGUCAAAAUAGAGAGUUCUACUCCUGCUCAGCCAGCAUUGCUCCAUAAAUUCUCCACGCAAAUCACAGGAUUAGACAAAAUUAACGAUGAACAUUUAAUUUGCGGAUUAUGGAAUGGUGCUGUUUAUUUAAUUUCUGUGAAAACCGGUUUAUUAACUGUAGAUGCCAUCGAAAAAGAUAUCUCUUAUGCAAAUUAUUGCUGCCAAGGCCUUGCACUUUCAAGGAAUGGAGCGUUUGCAGUUUUAUGCAACAGCGUUUCUAAGUUUUUUGACCACUCCAACCUGCGGCAAACAGCACAUUUUUACCUAAUGGCAUUACCCAAAGAAAUUAUUGACCCAGCGUUACUAAUCGAAUCCUCUUUGAAGUCAAAAUCAUCAACUGUGAAUUCAAUUGCUGAUUGUUUAGCAUCGUACAGGUUCAGUAUUGUUUCUAAAGAACAAUCAAUACCACAAUACUUAGAAAAGCUGGAUGAUUUAUGUGCUUUGCCGGAUAAUGUGCUCCAAAUUUACCUUCGAUUAUUUCACUUUUUAGCUCCUUGUGAUCCUCUUGAAAGUGAAAAAUGGAGAAAACUGUCGAAUCUCAUCACAACUGUCCUUUAUGCCCGAUUUUUCACUCGCAAGAAAGUUUCCAAUCCUGUGGUGAUUCAAUGGCUGUACAAGACAGUCGAAGCUUUGGAUAGCAGUUUCAAGGAGUUAAUAGCAGCCUGUGAACAGUUGAUCUCCUCAGCUGGUAGUCAGAAAGCUGUAUGUGUGUUCUGUGAUGGAGAUGUUAGCGAUGUAAGCUUUGAUCACUUUAGUUGCAGUUCUGGCCAUAAAGUUCCUAUUUGCGCCUUUAGUUUCCAGCCUUGUUUAGUCAUUCCGUAUUGUGUCUGUGAUGGUUGUGGUGCAAUAGCUCUCCAAGAAUCAGUAUCAUCUAUGGUGGAGCACUGUGUGAUUUGUGGAGGCGACUUUCAGAUAGAUCUCACUGUUUCAGAAACUCAUAUCUAUGAUGGAGAGGCAGAUGAUGCGGAUCAACCGCGUGAAGAGACUGAAGUUGUCCAUGCUGGCACCAAGUUUCACGCGCAGGCGGAAGAAGAAGAACUUGACGACCCCUUGGCCGAUCCGCUAUUGUAAAGAAGCAUCUUGCUCUGAUACUCCUUGGUCUCAUUUUUUCUAGAGUAUAAAUUGGAAGUAUUUCUAUCAAACGGAACUAUGUGCAUUAAGACAAGAGCCCCGCGACCGAUAAGAAUACAUGCAUAACAGGGCUCACAUCAUAAUGCACAUAGUUCCGUUUGACAGAAAUACGUCCAAUUACUCAUUGUAUCUGCGGAUACCUCUUGAAAAAUGACAAGGUUCUCCACAGAUAUUAAGGAUCGAACAAUGUUGUUUGAUUGUGAUCCAAAAUGUUUGCUUUUCGACAACGGCGCACAAUGGAACGGGCCAAUGGGAGACGUCGGAUACAAUCUGGAAACUUUGAAAGCUUAUAUUUUCGAAAAUAUGAAAUAAAAAAGUUUAAGAGUGGUUCCAUUGGUUUUUCGUGAACAUCUCUUUCAUAGCACUCCUUUAAAUUGAAUUUGUUAUGAGAUAAACAUCAGAAUGUGACAUAAUUAUUAGCCAAAAAUUGCGUGUCUGUCCUCUUCUGUUAGCUCGUUCCACGAGCACUAUGGAUCGAGUCAAUAGGAGAGGUCGGACAAAAUUCGGAAACUUAUAUGCUUAUAUAUAACUCCGUUCACACAAAACUUUGAAGUUCUAAAAGUGGUUCCAUUAGUUUCUUUGUGAAAUUUCCUUCAAGUAGCACCCCUUAAAGUUUAAAAUGUGGCUAAGUAAACAUGAAAAUUUGCAGUUUUACAUAGUCAAAAAUUUCAUGUCCGACCUCUCUAAUUGACAGGAUUCACUGUGCGGCGUUGGUCUCGGAUUGAUGGUAAAACUACACGAACACGUAGCUCUAUUGUUAUCCAUCAAAACUGCGCAGAUCAAAAGUACACCAAAGUAUCCGAAGGGGAAUCACCCUGUACCCACGGAAUGCGCACUGAGAAAAAUAUUUCGUGUUCUUGUUUUACUUUCAGUUAAUAUAGGAGUGAAACACGAACCAACCCAAAUUUUGUGUUAAUCUCGGUAAAGUUUGCGUUCAGUUUAGAACAAAAAACAAUGGAAAAACCGAGAAACCCCAGUUUCAACCGAAGGCUUGGGUUACUUUGUGGUCCCUUCCCCUAGUAACCAAACUUAUGGGUUAUUUUUCCUCUCAGUGCAGCUGACAAAGGCUUGAUAAAUCGAUUUUCUCGAGGAGGUCCAGUCGGAAUUUUCCUAGUGAGCAGCUGUGCAACUUUCGAGCAGAGGAAGUAGGAAGUAAAUCCCCUUACUCUAGGUCACUUUAAUUGAAGCAUUUUGUGCAACGAGAGCGUCUAUGCCAUGCAACGCUGCUAAAAUUGUGCGACUCCGUUGCAAUCCUGUGUCAAUUCCAAUGACCACGCAAAAGUAUUCUUUUCCCCCAUUAUUCUUCGAAUUUUUAGUCAGCUCUCCUGAAAAAUUAUUUUGAAUGUACGAAAGUGUAAAGUAAAAUACAGUCUUAGCUGCACAAUCUUAGCAGCGUUGCAUGGGCAUAGACGGCAUCGUCAAAACAGAUACAUAAAAAUUGAAAGAUUUUGAAGUGCUCAUUUUUAAUCCUCCCCUUAUCAAUGCAACCAUGAAUCGCACCAGAGGGAGCGCGAGGUCAAAAGUUUGGCUAAAGUCGGACCGAUCUUCUCGGCCGCCAUCUUGGAUGACCCAGCGUCGCGCGUUCAAAUGGGUGCUCAGAAUCCGCAACUUCGAACUCAUUUUUCGUGGUUUAAUAUUGCUAUAAAAAUUGGGGGAAAAUCCUAUAAACUAUGAGCACUCUCUCGUUUUCAAAAAUGCAUGAAGUGGAAAUUACUGAACAAGCCCAUUGCAUUAGUCGAUAUAAUGGAGACAUCAAGACAUCAUAUAUUUGAAAUAUAUAAUUGGUAGUAUGGAUACAAUUCAUACUUGACUCAUUGAAGGUUUCUAAAAGGACACCAACGUGUAAAAACAGGAAGUAGGCACUUGAGAUUCGUAUUAAAAAUGCCCAUCUCGCAGUUCACGCCUUCGAAAAGUAAAUGAAUAAAAAAUGUGGAAAAAGAAUAAAAAAAUUCGACCAAAGCUCUCUUAUGUUAUAUUUUUAAGCAAGACUUCUUUUUUUUUCUUGAAAGGAAAUAAAAAAAAUUUAAAUAAUAAUCAAUGGACUUUGAAUUGCGCAUCCUC
RNAcentral lists this long non-coding RNA (4097 nucleotides) under Bemisia tabaci. RNAcentral describes it as "lncRNA ENSSSA1UGG013545". The record is from RNAcentral. Lineage: Eukaryota; Metazoa; Arthropoda; Insecta; Hemiptera; Aleyrodidae.